Molecule: ribosomal RNA, 424 nt
Filed under: uncultured bacterium
Lineage: Bacteria
Description: bacterial SSU rRNA
Rfam family: Bacterial small subunit ribosomal RNA
Source: RNAcentral
UCGGGAAUUUUGCUCAAUGGGCGAAAGCCUGAAGCAGCAACGCCGCGUGAGGGAUGACGGCCUUCGGGUUGUAAACCUCUUUUCUCAGGGACGAUGAUGACGGUACCUGAGGAAUAAGCCACGGCAAACUACGUGCCAGCAGCCGCGGUAAUACGUAGGUGGCAAGCGUUGUCCGGAUUUACUGGGCGUAAAGAGCGCGCAGGCGGUCGACUUAGUCGGAUGUGAAAGCCCCCGGCUCAACUGGGGAGGGUCAUUCGAUACUGGUCGACUCGAAGGCAGGAGAGGGAAGCGGAAUUCCCGGUGUAGUGGUGAAAUGCGUAGAUAUCGGGAGGAACACCAGUGGCGAAGGCGGCUUCCUGGCCUGUUCUUGACGCUGAGGCGCGAAAGCUAGGGGAGCAAACGGGAUUAGAUACCCCCGUAGUCC